AUGAUUUUAUAUUGUACUAGAGGUUCGACGAAGCCAUCUAAACAGCAAGCGUGCGGUAAGGGAGCGACCCAAGAUGACCCCAGUAAUUCCGGGACCUAUAAUAAGUAUGGCAGAGACGUCAUGGUCGUCAUUUACCACGAGAUCAAAGACGUCAGGCUACUG
Maniola jurtina (meadow brown) is the source of this 162-nucleotide long non-coding RNA. RefSeq lists it as uncharacterized. The transcript is spliced from 3 exons. NCBI's taxonomy places the organism in Eukaryota, Metazoa, Arthropoda, Insecta, Lepidoptera, Nymphalidae. The record is from RefSeq and is a predicted model, not a curated record.